AUGUACUUUUUUUUUUGUAGCUACAUCCAUCAACCUCUUUGCAAGGAGCUGUUCAAAACACGAGUAAUCCAUUAUCCUAUACCAAUAGUUCUAAGCUGACAGGCGUUCCUUCACAAUGGAUACCUCAACAGUUCUCUUAUCAAUCAUCUGCUUUGCCAGGUCCAUACAUGAUGCAGCAAUUUCCACAUGAUAUGCCUCACCAGCUUCCUAGCAGUUUUUUCCCGUCAAUGAAUCAAGGUGGUGGAGUAGCAAGUGAGACCACUACUUACGGUGUUAGAACCAGCAACCAACUUGCAGCUCAAACAAACUCGCAUCUGGGUUCGCUUAAUUCAUCUGUGCCUUCUGUUGGAGGAAAUCCUUUCGGAUAGAUGGGGAUUACUGUUAUCAUUAGAUUUGAUGCUCAGAUUAUUACUGCCCUCUUCUGUCCAUUCCGACAAAGAGUUUGGGGUACCUUGUUUGUGGGGCGGUACGUGUAAACUUUGGUUUAAGAAUUUGCUGGAGAAGAUCUAUUUAUGUAUUUAUUUGUUUCAAAUGUAAAUUCCCCGUGUUUUAUUUAACUUGUUGCCCUUAUUUGGUCAUUUUGUAUUAUUCAUUUGGGUUAAUCUUAUAAUAACCUCUAGGUUUAGUGAUUCU
Long non-coding RNA from Dendrobium catenatum, 633 nucleotides. RefSeq lists it as uncharacterized. The record is from RefSeq and is a predicted model, not a curated record. Lineage: Eukaryota; Viridiplantae; Streptophyta; Magnoliopsida; Asparagales; Orchidaceae. The transcript has 3 exons.